GCCAGCCCGCUCAGAAACUACAAAGGAAUUGACGGGGGCCCACACAAGCGGUGGAGUAUGUGGUUUAAUUCGAUGCAACGCGAAGAACCUUACCUAGGUUUGACAUCCGGAAGACCUUCCCGAAAAGGAAGGGUGCCCUUCGGGGAAUUCCGAGACAGGUGCUGCAUGGCUGUCGUCAGCUCGUGCCGUGAGGUGUUGGGUUAAGUCCCGCAACGAGCGCAACCCUAUUGCCAGUUGCUACCAGGUAAUGCUGGGCACUCUGGUGAGACUGCCCCGGUUAACGGGGAGGAAGGUGGGACGACGUCAAGUCAUCAUGGCCCUUACGCCUAGGGCUACACACGUACUACAAUGGCGCAUACAAAGGGCAGCGAUACCGCGAAGUGGAGCCAAUCCCAAAAAGUGCGUCCCAGUCCGGAUUGCAGUCUGCAACUCGACUGCAUGAAGUUGGAAUCGCUAGUAAUUCGAGAUCAGCAUGCUCGGGUGAAUGCGUUCCCGGGCCUU
This 501-nucleotide ribosomal RNA is filed under the name uncultured Desulfovibrio sp. RNAcentral describes it as "bacterial SSU rRNA". It matches the Rfam family "Bacterial small subunit ribosomal RNA", at positions 903 to 1382 of the family's 1533-position model. The record is from RNAcentral. Lineage: Bacteria; Pseudomonadati; Thermodesulfobacteriota; Desulfovibrionia; Desulfovibrionales; Desulfovibrionaceae.